GUUUUUAUAAUUUAAUUAAAAAUAUUGAUUUUGUAAAUCAAAUUUAAGAUAUAUUCUUUAAAAACU
RNAcentral lists this transfer RNA (66 nucleotides) under Hydropsyche angustipennis. RNAcentral describes it as "tRNA-Thr". The record is from RNAcentral. Lineage: Eukaryota; Metazoa; Arthropoda; Insecta; Trichoptera; Hydropsychidae.